GAGACUGUCGUUAACCAAGUAACUACACUUUACGAUGUUAAUUAUUUACUAAUUAUGUUAUAAAAUUAGGUGACAUCCCGUUUCCUACUAUUUUCUUGUAUUGUUCGUCUGUGAUUUUAAUUUAGCUUUUGUCGUAAUGUUAAACGUAUUGUUUUGCCUGGUUUACAUUCAUCAACUUUAAGCCAACACAACAGCAGUUAGGUAAACCAGUUCCUGUUCCUCAAAAAUGAAAGUCAUAACAUCCGUCUUUUCGGUGUAAUUUUGUAGGAUUUAAACCUUAUCACUGCAAAGAUGUCAUGGUUAAAAAAACGUGGGCAAACAGCCAGCCCCAAUCCUUUAGCUGCACCACCUGUUCAAAUGUACAACCCGAAUCAACAUUCCAAUUUGCAGACUCAAUGGCAACAUCAAGAUCUUCAGGCUCCAUCUAGUAAUAAUUGGUAUUCACAAACGCAGCCAAAUCAGCAAUCUUUACAACAGCCUCCUUAUUCGCAGCCUGUUUUACAACCAAAUAACUGGAAUCGUUCGUAUAUACAACAACCCACAAAUACAUACAAUCCGAAUCCUACUAAUCAAUAUACUGAACAAUACUCUUCAUAUAAUUCUUCAUAUUCUAAUGAAAAUAGUAGCUAUCAACAAACAAAUUACGCAAAUCAACAGCCACAGAAUCCCACGUAUAAUUAUACUCAAACUUCGGAACCACAAUCAAAUGUUAAUACUGAUAGUUGGAAUUGGGGAUGGGGCGAUGAAGAUAAUUCUAAUGUUCAAAAUUUACCGCAGGCAAAUUCUACUUUAAAUGUUAACCAUGUCGAAAGUUCUAAUGAAGAAACAUGGAACUGGACCGUAGAAGAUAGUAAUACAAAUUCUAGUGAUGUACAUGCUUUAGAUAGUCAUUCUUCCACUAGCACUAAUAAAAAUUCUGCGCAUCAAAAUACGCAACAUACAGCUUCUCAACCUAGUGUCUUUCCACAAAUGGGAAAAUUGGCGGAGAAACAUUCACAGUCGACAGAUGUGUAUUCCCAGGAUUCCAAUUGUGAAAGUAGUUUAAACCAACAUUCGUUGGCUUAUUCUGAUCAUCCAACUCUUAAUCAAGCUGUAAUCUCAUCUACAUUAAAACAUAAUAAAAUUGAUCAUUUAACACCUCAGUGGUCCACAGAAUCACAAAUGUCACAAGAUUCUUCUGAUCUCCUACAUACUUCUGAAAGUGACAAAAGUCAUAUGUUGUCUCGAAGCUCAACUAUUAGCGAGUCACCGGUUUCUGGCCACGAUAUCAAUUCAGAAAAUGUGAUAAGACAAGAAUCACCGCAAAGUCGGCAUCAUGAAACUUCUAACGUUAUGACCGAAACAUCUUCAUCUGACAGUGUAUCGAUGAAUUAUUAUCGACAAGAUGCUUACAGUUUACACCAGGAAAACAAGGAAGACAUUUCUGGAUUACAGGAAGAAUUAAAGCAAUAUAAAGGCAACUCGACUAUUCCUCCUCCUCCUAUGACAAAUCAGACACCCCCUCAUGUUUUACCACUCACAGAUGAUAAGCCUAAAAAUCCAUAUAAACUAAACACAGGUCUAUCUCACAAAUCUGCCAGUAAACAUAAUUUAGAGCCUAGACAAUCUGGAAAUCCAAUUCAUCAAUCAAAGUAUCCCGUAUCACAAAGCCCCUUUAACCAAUUGGUUAAUUUGGAAACUUUACCUGACAAUGCAGAACAACCAGACACAAUUUCUCACAUUUCUAAGAAAGUAGCAGUAAAACCAUCAGUACACCAGUGGCCCGACAACAAUGAGGUUGCACCAAUAAAUGAUCGAAAUCAAUAUUUGGAAACAGGACAGCUCUCAAACAAUGAAUGUAAUCAGCCUCGCUCGUCUUCGCUAAACGAUACGUCUGAUUUAAUACCACCUCCUGGUUUCACCCGAAUGGUUUUAGGGCAAAUGGAACAAACUGAUAAUCUAGGAAACCAAGAUGAACCACCACCGGGACUCAGUAGAAUGGUUUUGGGCGAAACGUGCGCCACUUCCUCAUUACCAAAACCAGAUAAUGCGGAACCGUUACACAGAAUGAUACCAGGUGGUUCAAGUUCUCCAAAGCCCAGAUACCAGCCUUCGAGUUAUCCUGCGCCCAAGUUUGGGAACACACCACCACCACCAGAAUCCGAUUUAAAUGUCCAUGUUCCAAAUCAAAUCCGUUCAGCUACUAUUGGAGCAGAUACACCAUCUGUUACUACAAAUGUUGUUACUGGUGCUUCUAUCGCUAAUCGUUCAAUGACUAUCGGUGCUGAUAUUACAAUGCCUUACAGUAGUACUAAUUUAGAAAGCACUAAACCAAGCAGCAAAGUACCUAGUGCCUCAAGUAACUUUAACAACAAUAUACGAGAGACUAAUUUAGAAGGUGCUAGUAACUUAGAUGAAAAAAUCACUACUCCUGUGGUAGCCAGACGAGAUUCGAUUGAAGGUGAAACUCAGGAUAACUCUGUGACUAAUUUAGUUAAUUCUAUUAGAGACCUUAACGUCGGUGAAAAUUUAAAUAACAGUACCAACUCCACGUUGCCGAUAACUGAAAGGAACACAAGAAGACCGAGUAAACAGGAAAGUACGGAUAGCGAGCAAGAAAGUGUGGCACGUGAUCGAAAAGAGCGAAGAUACUAUGAAAAGCACGGUGAUUAUGAUAGGGAGAGAAAUAGAAGAUAUUCACCGUCACCGGAUAGAUACAGAGAGAAGAAAUAUGAGCGUACUAGGUACAGAGAUCCUCGCUAUGAUGAUGAUACGGAUUACUAUAGUGACAAGGACCGUGACAGGAAACGUGAUGAUAAAGAUAGGCGUGAAGAAUUAGAUAAGAAAUAUGGUAGUUUAAAACGGGAUAAAGAAAAGCGCAGGAAAGAGCAAAGGAAUUAUAGGGAUUACGGCAGAGAUGGUCAUAGAAAAGAUUAUUAUCAUCGAUAUGAAGAUGAAUACGAUGACCAUUCUAGGUCGAGGCCAUCCAGUCGCUCUGAUUCACUCCACGAUUCUUAUCGACAGGACCGUGAUCGCCAUCGUGAUAAAUAUAGGCGCCACAGAGAUCCAUACAAUAUGCCGUACAUGCAGGGUUACUCUUACGAUCCUUAUAAUCCGUAUUAUCAGCAAUAUCAAUAUCACUAUUUAGAAAAUUUAAGGCGAACAAAUCCGCAAGCCUACGCCGAAUGGUAUAGAAAAUAUUACCAACAGAGUAAUUCGCAGCAGAACUUUGGCAAUGAAGACAGGGCAUCUGUCCAUUCAGGGCGAAGUUCUGCGAAUGAAGAACUGUCUAAAGAUCGGUAUUCACGUCAGAGUUAUUACAACCAGGCGAGCUUGAACUACUACCGAGAGCCUCACAUUCAUAGCAUUUUAGACCAUUAUGCCCCCGACGAGUCUAGGCCGUUUGAUCAGACUGAUUCCUCACUUUACUUGGAAGACACAACUGGGGCAUCUCAAAGAUUGACUCCCGCUAAAUUUGCAACAGCACAUGUUAAAGCAUCGAUAUCAUCCGGACGACUUGUAAAGAUUUUUCCGCAUUAUCCGCUGGAUGGCCAGCCCGCCGUCGUGGAAGUUAAUAAUUUAAAAGAGCUUUUAGUUAAUGAUGACGAGUAUAAAGAGCUAGUCGAGUUCCCUGGACCGUUGAUAAAAGGGGUUACUCAUAAAAAGACGAUUAUAGAAUACUGCGAAAAUAAAAUAAGAAGCGCCAUAUAUAGUCGUGAUAUUGGAGAUGUGGAUUCUUACAUAUUAAUGUGGGAGCUGUUGAUCCUAUUGUUAAGGCAAAACGGGAUGGUUGUUGGAACGGAUAUAGCGGAACUAUUAAUGAAAGAUAAGAAGCAGGAAUACAGUCGAAAAGGUUCAAUCACCUCUAAUAGCAGUGAAGUAGUAGAAAGAGCGCUCUCUGAACCUAAUCUUCACACUGAUUUAACUGGCAGCUCCGCUUCUAUCUUAAAAGAGGAAGUUGUUACAAAUAAGUUUAGGGAACUUCUGAUUUAUGGUUCCGAGAAAGAAGCAUUAGAGUGGUCUAUGAAACAUGGACUAUGGGGACAUGCCCUAUUUUUAGCCAGUAAAUUGGAUAAACGGACAUAUGCAAAUGUAAUGACACGUUUUGCUAAUGGUUUAACUAUGAAUGAUCCUUUACAAACACUUUACCAGCUAUUAUCUGGAAAAAUUCCUGCUUCCGUUACAUGUGUUUCGGACGAAAAAUGGGGAGAUUGGAGGCCACAUCUGGCAAUGAUUCUUUCAAAUACGACGCAAAGACCGGAACUUGACAGAAAAGCCAUUAUGACAUUAGGUGAUACCUUGUUUGCCAGAAACAGCCUUUACGCUGCUCAGUUUUCAUAUCUUAUGGCGCAAGUCGAAUUUAGUAGGUACGGUACAGAAUCGCCCAAGCUGGUGCUGUUGGGAUCGAACCAUAAUAAACCGUUUAUGGAAUUUGCAAUUAAUGAAGCCAUUUUCAUGACUGAAGUCUAUGAGUAUGCAUGCAGCCUAAAUGACAACAAUUUUGUCAUACCAGAAUUUUUGCCUUACAAAUAUCUUCUUGCCACAAGAUUGGCUGACAGGGGACUGCUAGACAAAUCUUUGGCAUAUCUGGAAAAAAUCGCAGUGGCAGUUACACAGAACCCAGGUCUCGCGCAACCUACGCUUAUACACCAAGUUUGCACGUUAGGUGAUAGACUGAAAUAUUGUGAUAUCGUUGAAGAUGCGCUUGAGGGGGAUACAGAAUGUGACAACCGUCCAGAUACAACUUGGCUAAGAGAUUUGAAGGCUUUUGAGAAAAACAUCAAUAUUCAUUCUGCACCACUGGAUACUGUCGAAAAUUCUGAACUAAUGGCAGGUACUGAUCAAAAUCAAAUUCAUCAAUCUGCUUAUGACCAGUCGUGGCCGCAGCAAUAUGCAGAGGAGCAGUAUCAACAACAACAACAGUGGCAAUCAGGGCAGUAUGAUCAACAAAACAAUGCAGUGUAUCAACAAUCACAAUCUGUAGGUACAGAAGGUUAUACUUCAGAGUUGUAUCCCGAUCAACAUUCUUAUUGGACUCAUAAUCAAUUACCUGAGACUACAGACCAUGGACUGGAUUCGAAUACACAACAGCAGUUUCCUACUGAUUUGCAAUCAAAUAGUUUUUGGAAUAGUGCUCCAGCACAGCAUGAAGAAGUAGAAAAUCAGCCAAAUGAAGGCAUACCACAGAUAUCUAUGCCACAUCAAUCGAGAGAAAAUGCAGAACGUGACAACCAAGAAAACGUGCAGCACCAAGUUAAAAAGGAAAGUCCUAUUAAACAGAAAGCCCAAGAUAAAUCGGCGACAACAGGAUGGUUCGGCGGUAUAUGGAACAAGCUUUCCUUACGACCUAAAAAUCAAAUGAAACUACCCGAUGAUAAAAAUCCAUCGAUUGUGUGGGAUGAACAGAAAAAAAGGUGGAUAAAUUUAGAAUCUGAAGGUGAUGGCGCUGUGGCCGAAUUAAAACCGCCUCCAAAAAUGGCGGAUAUGUAUUCCGCGCCCAGUCAGGCUAUACCUACCAUUCCUGGCGCCGUAGCUCACGAUAACCUAUCGCAUGCACCUGGACAUCAAAUGGAACCUACUAGGCCAUUUUUGGAGAAUGGGAUGAUGCCUACUCAAAAUUCUGUUGGUAAUGCUAUACAUACCAAUAUGGCACAAGGACAAAAUGAAGUGCAUGAAAGACAUGAUGAUGGGCUACCAAAGACAGCACAACCAAAUAUGUUUAAACUGCAAAGAGGACGAAACAUAAAAAAAUCAUAUGUUGAUGUUUUUAAUCCAGGUGCGAAAUCUGCUGGAAAUGCUCCAUCUAUAGCCGCCCCUGAAACGUUUUCAUCAAUGCCUCCCAGUGGAUUACAGAUGAAUUAUUUUGUACCCGCUCCAGUUAGCGACCCUAACGCUCCUAUGGAUUUUUUAACGCCUGCGCCACUGCAACAGAUUGAUGAUAGUUCACAGAGAAAAGGUGUCAAAAGAUAUUAAAAUAUAUCUAGAUCGAGUUCUGCUAGUUCCUUAUCGAGGGAGGUUCAAUAUUACAUGCAGAAUAAAGAGCCUGUGCAUCGUUAACCUUUUGCUUUCAUUCAUUAGUUUGCAAUAAAAUUACUGUUUGCGUUACUGUCACACUACAUCUUGGGAUAUCAACGAGAAGCUGAACGGUGUAAAUAUCUUAUCUGAAGACUCACACAUGCUAUAUAAUAAUUAUGAUGGUACCGAA
Molecule: RNA transcript, 6184 nt
Organism: Photinus pyralis (common eastern firefly)
Lineage: Eukaryota; Metazoa; Arthropoda; Insecta; Coleoptera; Lampyridae
Exons: 20
Source: RefSeq, a predicted model, not a curated record